CAACCCUCAAGCUCUGCUUGGUAUUGGGCCGCGUCGGCAACGACGGGCCUCAAAAGUAGUGGCGGCGCCGGUCGCGUCCUCAGCGUAGUAAUUCUUCUCGCUGUUGGGUGCGGGCGGCCGCUGGCCAGCAACCCCAAACUUUCUAU
This 146-nucleotide unclassified non-coding RNA is filed under the name uncultured Chalara. RNAcentral describes it as "sequence contains ITS2". The record is from RNAcentral. Lineage: Eukaryota; Fungi; Ascomycota; Leotiomycetes; Helotiales.